Molecule: unclassified non-coding RNA, 413 nt
Filed under: soil metagenome
Description: partial contains 5.8S ribosomal RNA, internal transcribed spacer 2, and large subunit ribosomal RNA
Rfam family: 5.8S ribosomal RNA (bases 1-121)
Source: RNAcentral
GAUGAAGAACGUAGCGAAAUGCGAUAAGUAGUGUGAAUUGCAGAAGUACCGUGAAUCAUCGAAUCUUUGAACGCAAAUUGCACUCUCUGGUAUUCCGGGGAGUAUGCCUGUUUGAGGGUCGCUUAACAAACCAUCGAUUUCGUUGCUUUUUUUUUUUAAAAAGUGAUGUUUAUCGUAUUUGAGCCGUCUUUUUUUUUUUAUAUUUAAGUGGCUUAAAAUUGAUUUUUUUGGUACGAUCGAAGCGUAUUUUUAUGAUCAAUUUUUGGUUAAAGAAACGCACACGUACCGUUAUUUAUAUGAUGUAAUACGUUUGACUAUUGGAUUUAGUUCAUUCGUAUACGAUAUCUUUCAAUAUUUGACCUCAAAUCAGGUAAGAACACCCGCUGAACUUAAGCAUAUCAAUAAGCGGAGGA